RNAcentral lists this long non-coding RNA (1018 nucleotides) under Homo sapiens (human). RNAcentral describes it as "long non-coding RNA NONHSAT102829.2". The record is from RNAcentral. Lineage: Eukaryota; Metazoa; Chordata; Mammalia; Primates; Hominidae.
GAAGCAGUUGAGUGCUGCAGCGGCAGUCGUCGCCCCUGCCGCCGCUGCCACCGAAGGAAGCAUCCCAGACACCGGGAAGAUGGAAGAUGGUACCCCAAAGCAUAUCAUCCAGAUGACAGGAUUUAAGAUGGAAGAAAAAGAAGCGCUAGUCAAAUUACUUUUAAAACUAGAUUGCACUUUUAUUAAGAGUGAGAAAUACAAAAAUUGUACACAUCUUAUAGCUGAACGCCUAUGUAAGAGUGAAAAAUUUUUAGCAGCUUGUGCGGCAGGAAAGUGGAUACUAACCAAGGACUAUAUAAUUCAUAGUGCCAAAAGUGGCAGAUGGCUUGAUGAAACAACUUAUGAAUGGGGAUAUAAAAUUGAAAAAGAUUCCCGUUAUUCACCUCAAAUGCAAUCUGCACCUAAAAGAUGGCGUGAAGAACUGAAACGCACUGGUGCUCCAGGAGCCUUCCACAGAUGGAAAGUUGUCCUCCUUGUUAGAACUGAUAAGCGAAGUGAUUCUCUUAUAAGAGUUUUGGAGGCUGGAAAGGCAAAUGUUAUUUUACCAAAAAGUUCACCAAGUGGAAUAACUCAUGUGAUUGCCAGUAAUGCAAGAAUUAAAGCUGAGAAAGAAAAAGAUAACUUUAAGGCUCCAUUUUAUCCAAUUCAGUAUCUAGGGGAUUUUCUUUUAGAGAAAGAAAUUCAGAAUGAUGAAGAUUCCCAAACCAAUUCUGUUUGGACUGAACAUAGCAAUGAAGAAACAAACAAAGAUUUCAGGAAAGAUGCAGGAUUUCUUGAAAUGAAAGGUGCCUUAAGAGAGACCAUGUAUAGAACCCAGAAAGAAAUGCAAAAUCAUGAAGAUGUUAAUGUUGGUUCUAUUUUGAUUCAACAUCACAAAAAAGAAAAAUUCAGUGGUUCCAGUAAAGAUUUGAAAUUUGUUAAAAUGAGAAAUACCUUUGGAAGCCAUACAUAUGAAAAUCAGAAGGAAAUUAAGAAAAAAGAUGAAGAUAUUCAGAGGAGUUAUACUUUGAGGAGAAAA